AACGGGCGCUAAUACCGCAUACGUCCUGAGGGAGAAAGUGGGGGAUCUUCGGACCUCACGCUAUCAGAUGAGCCUAGGUCGGAUUAGCUAGUUGGUGGGGUAAAGGCCUACCAAGGCGACGAUCCGUAACUGGUCUGAGAGGAUGAUCAGUCACACUGGAACUGAGACACGGUCCAGACUCCUACGGGAGGCAGCAGUGGGGAAUAUUGGACAAUGGGCGAAAGCCUGAUCCAGCCAUGCCGCGUGUGUGAAGAAGGUCUUCGGAUUGUAAAGCACUUUAAGUUGGGAGGAAGGGCAGUAAGUUAAUACCUUGCUGUUUUGACGUUACCAACAGAAUAAGCACCGGCUAACUUCGUGCCAGCAGCCGCGGUAAUACGAAGGGUGCAAGCGUUAAUCGGAAUUACUGGGCGUAAAGCGCGCGUAGGUGGUUCAGCAAGUUGGAUGUGAAAUCCCCGGGCUCAACCUGGGAACUGCAUCCAAAACUACUGAGCUAGAGUACGGUAGAGGGUGGUGGAAUUUCCUGUGUAGCGGUGAAAUGCGUAGAUAUAGGAAGGAACACCAGUG
RNAcentral lists this ribosomal RNA (564 nucleotides) under Pseudomonas aeruginosa. RNAcentral describes it as "bacterial SSU rRNA". It matches the Rfam family "Bacterial small subunit ribosomal RNA", at positions 155 to 714 of the family's 1533-position model. The record is from RNAcentral. Lineage: Bacteria; Pseudomonadati; Pseudomonadota; Gammaproteobacteria; Pseudomonadales; Pseudomonadaceae.